Molecule: ribosomal RNA, 274 nt
Filed under: uncultured bacterium
Lineage: Bacteria
Description: partial 16S ribosomal RNA
Rfam family: Bacterial small subunit ribosomal RNA
Source: RNAcentral
AUACGGAGGGUGCAAGCGUUACUCGGAAUCACUGGGCGUAAAGCGCGCGCAGGCGGCUAUUUAAGUUGGAUGUGAAAGCCUACGGCUCAACCGUAGAACUGCAUCCAAAACUAUUUAGCUAGAGUGUGGGAGUGGAAGAUGGAAUUAGUUGUGUAGGGGUAAAAUCCGUAGAGAUAACUAGGAAUACCAAAAGCGAAGGCAAUCUUCUGGAACACUACUGACGCUGAGGCGCGAAAGCGUGGGGAGCAAACGGGAUUAGAAACCCUAGUAGUCC